UACGUAGGGGGCGAGCGUUGUCCGGAUUUAUUGGGCGUAAAGAGCUCGUAGGCGGCUUGGCAAGUCGGGUGUGAAACCUCCAGGCUUAACCUGGAGACGCCACUCGAUACUGCCAUGGCUAGAGUCCGGUAGGGGACCACGGAAUUCCUGGUGUAGCGGUGAAAUGCGCAGAUAUCAGGAGGAACACCGGUGGCGAAGGCGGGUCUCUGGGCUGUAACUGACGCUGAGGAGCGAAAGCGUGGGUAGCGAACAGG
Molecule: ribosomal RNA, 254 nt
Filed under: uncultured bacterium
Lineage: Bacteria
Description: partial 16S ribosomal RNA
Rfam family: Bacterial small subunit ribosomal RNA
Source: RNAcentral